Molecule: transfer RNA, 64 nt
Filed under: Leptolycini sp. UPOL 000592
Lineage: Eukaryota; Metazoa; Arthropoda; Insecta; Coleoptera; Lycidae
Description: tRNA-Phe
Source: RNAcentral
AUAUUUUAAAGUUUUACUUCCUUAAUAUUUUCAAUAUUAUACUCUAUUAUAAGCUAUUAAAAUA